This 492-nucleotide ribosomal RNA is filed under the name uncultured bacterium. RNAcentral's name for it is "partial 16S ribosomal RNA". It matches the Rfam family "Bacterial small subunit ribosomal RNA", at positions 29 to 507 of the family's 1533-position model. The record is from RNAcentral.
AGUGAACGCUGGCGGUAGGCCUAACACAUGCAAGUCGAACGGCAGCACGGUAAGAGCUUGCUCUUACGGGUGGCGAGUGGCGGACGGGUGAGGAAUACAUCGGAAUCUACUUUUUCGUGGGGGAUAACGUAGGGAAACUUACGCUAAUACCGCAUACGACCUACGGGUGAAAGCAGGGGAUCUUCGGACCUUGCGCGAUUGAAUGAGCCGAUGUCGGAUUAGCUAGUUGGCGGGGUAAAGGCCCACCAAGGCGACGAUCCGUAGCUGGUCUGAGAGGAUGAUCAGCCACACUGGAACUGAGACACGGUCCAGACUCCUACGGGAGGCAGCAGUGGGGAAUAUUGGACAAUGGGCGCAAGCCUGAUCCAGCCAUACCGCGUGGGUGAAGAAGGCCUUCGGGUUGUAAAGCCCUUUUGUUGGGAAAGAAAAGCAGCAGGUUAAUACCCCGCUGUUCUGACGGUACCCAAAGAAUAAGCGCCGGCUAACUUCGUG